This 1340-nucleotide ribosomal RNA is filed under the name metagenome. RNAcentral describes it as "bacterial LSU rRNA". It matches the Rfam family "Bacterial large subunit ribosomal RNA", at positions 1552 to 2887 of the family's 2925-position model. The record is from RNAcentral.
GAUACCGAGGCUGUUGACCGAGUCUGCUUGCAGACGAAGUGAGUAAACGCGUCCCAGGAAAAGCCACUAAGCUUCAGCUAUACACGACCGUACCGCAAACCGACACUGGUGCGCGAGAUGAGUAUUCUAAGGCGCUUGAGAGAACUGCGGAGAAGGAACUCGGCAAAUUGACACCGUAACUUCGGGAGAAGGUGUGCCCUAGUAGUGUGAUGAGAACAUCUGAGCAUGAAGGGGUUGCAAAAAAUUGGUGGCUGCGACUGUUUAUUAAAAACACAGCACUCUGCAAACACGAAAGUGGACGUAUAGGGUGUGACGCCUGCCCGGUGCUGGAAGAUUAAUUGAUGGGGUGCAAGCUCUUGAUCGAAGUCCCAGUAAACGGCGGCCGUAACAAUAACGGUCCAAAGGUAGCGAAAUUCCUUGUCGGGUAAGUUCCGACCUGCACGAAUGGCGUAACGAUGGCCACACUGUCUCCUCCGCAGACUCAGCGAAGUUGAAAUGUUUGUGAUGAUGCAAUCUCCCCGCGGAAAGACGGAAAGACCCCAUGAACCUUUACUGUAGCUUUGUAUUGGACUUUGAACAGAUCUGUGUAGGAUAGGUGGGAGGCUUUGAAGUGUGGUCGCUAGAUCACAUGGAGCCAACGUUGAAAUACCACCCUGGUGUGUUUGAGGUUCUAACCUAGAUCCAUUAUCUGGAUCGGGGACCGUGCAUGGUAGGCAGUUUGACUGGGGCGGUCUCCUCCCAAAGUGUAACGGAGGAGUUCGAAGGUACGCUAGUUACGGUCGGACAUCGUGACGAUAGUGCAAUGGCAUAAGCGUGCUUAACUGCGAGACUGACAAGUCGAGCAGAUGCGAAAGCAGGACAUAGUGAUCCGGUGGUUCUGUAUGGAAGGACCAUCGCUCAACGGAUAAAAGGUACUCUGGGGAUAACAGGCUGAUACCGCCCAAGAGUUCAUAUCGACGGCGGUGUUUGGCACCUCGAUGUCGGCUCAUCUCAUCCUGGGGCUGUAGUCGGUCCCAAGGGUAUGGCUGUUCGCCAUUUAAAGAGGUACGUGAGCUGGGUUUAAAACGUCGUGAGACAGUUUGGUCCCUAUCUUCCGUGGGCGCUGCAGAUUUGAGGAAGCCUGCUCCUAGUACGAGAGGACCGGAGUGGACGCACCGCUGGUGUACCUGUUGUCACGCCCGUGGCAUCGCAGGGUAGCUAUGUGCUGAAGAGAUAACCGCUGAAAGCAUCUAAGCGGGAAACUCGUUCCAAGAUUAGAUCUGCCGGGGGCUUGACCCCCCUAAAGAGUCGUUCAAGACCAGGACGUUGAUAGGCUGGGUGUGCAAGUGCAGUAAUGCAUU